UAAGGAAUAUUGGUCAAUGGACGAAAGUCUGAACCAGCCAUGCCGCGUGGAGGAUGAAGGUCCUCUGGAUUGUAAACUUCUUUUAUCUGGGACGAAAAAAGGUCUUUCUAGAUCGUCUGACGGUACCAGAUGAAUAAGCACCGGCUAACUCCGUGCCAGCAGCCGCGGUAAUACGGAGGGUGCAAGCGUUAUCCGGAUUCACUGGGUUUAAAGGGUGCGUAGGUGGGUUGGUAAGUCAGUGGUGAAAUCUUCGAGCUUAACUCGGAAACUGCCAUUGAUACUAUCAGUCUUGAAUAUUGUGGAGGUUAGCGGAAUAUGUCAUGUAGCGGUGAAAUGCUUAGAUAUGACAUAGAACACCAAUUGCGAAGGCAGCUGGCUACACAUAUAUUGACACUGAGGCACGAAAGCGUGGGGAUCAAAACAGGAUUAGAUACCCUGGUAGUCCACGCCCUAAACUAUGGAUACUCGACAUACGCGAUACACUGUGUGUGUCUGAGCGAAAGCAUUAAGUAUCCCCACCUGGGAAGUACGAUCGCAAGAUUGAAACUCAAAUGAAUGACGGGGUCAUAGCUGUUUCCUG
Molecule: ribosomal RNA, 580 nt
Filed under: uncultured bacterium
Lineage: Bacteria
Description: partial 16S ribosomal RNA
Rfam family: Bacterial small subunit ribosomal RNA
Source: RNAcentral